CGUGAUACCAAAGGGAGUUAUAAGCUUCCGCUUGAAGAGGAGGUCGCGGCGUAUCAGCUAGUUGGUAGGGUAACGGCCUACCAAGGCGACGACGCGUAGCGGGUCUGAGAGGACGACCCGUCACAUUGGGACUGAGAUACGGCCCAGACUCCUACGGGAGGCAGCAGUGGGGAAUGUUGCGCAAUGGCCGAAAGGCUGACGCAGCGACGCCGCGUGUGGGAGGAAGCCCUUCGGGGUGUAAACCACUGUCGGGAGGGACGAAUCGCGAACGGGCAAAUAGCCCGGGCGCUUGACGGUACCUCCAAAGGAAGCACCGGCUAACUCCGUGCCAGCAGCCGCGGUAAGACGGAGGGUGCAAGCGUUGUUCGGAAUUACUGGGCGUAAAGCGCGGGCAGGUGGCCUUUUAAGUCCUUUGUGAAAUUCCGGAGCUCAACUCCGGAUGUGCAUAGGAUACUGGAAGGCUAGAGACUGGUAGAGGCGAGCGGAAUUCCUGGUGUAGCGGUGGAAUGCGUAGAUAUCGAGAGGAACACCUGCGGCGAAGGCGGGUUGCUGGGCCGACAC
Molecule: ribosomal RNA, 561 nt
Filed under: uncultured bacterium
Lineage: Bacteria
Description: bacterial SSU rRNA
Rfam family: Bacterial small subunit ribosomal RNA
Source: RNAcentral